Molecule: ribosomal RNA, 274 nt
Filed under: uncultured bacterium
Lineage: Bacteria
Description: partial 16S ribosomal RNA
Rfam family: Bacterial small subunit ribosomal RNA
Source: RNAcentral
AUACGGAGGGUACGAGCGUUGUUCGGAAUCACUGGGCGUAAAGCGCGGGUAGGCGGUCGUGCAAGUCGGUUGUGAAAUCCCGAGGCUCAACCUCGGAACUGCAAUCGAAACUGCUCGACUAGAGUCGCGGAGAGGGUGGCGGAAUUCCCAGUGUAGAGGUGAAAUUCGUAGAUAUUGGGAAGAACACCGGUGGCGAAGGCGGCCAUCUGGACCGGUACUGACGCUGAGGCGCGAAAGCGUGGGGAGCAAACAGGAUUAGAUACCCUAGUAGUCC